AUAGCGUAUAUUAAAGUUGUUGCAGUUAAAAAGCUCGUAGUUGGAUCUCAGUUCGAGUCAAGCGGUCCACUUGUAGUGGUUACUGUUUGACUGAACACUUUACCGAGUUGUCCUAUGGUGCUCUUCACCGAGUGUCAUAGGCGAUCGGUACGUUUACUUUGAAAAAAUUAGAGUGCUCAAAGCAGGCGUAACGCCCGAAUAAUGUUGCAUGGAAUAAUGGAAUAGGACCUCGGUUCUAUUUUGUUGGUCUUCGGAAUCUGAGGUAAUGAUUAAGAGGGACAGACGGGGGCAUUCGUAUUGCGACGCUAGAGGUGAAAUUCUUGGACCGUUGCAAGACGAA
Molecule: ribosomal RNA, 340 nt
Filed under: Svalbardia bicuspidata
Lineage: Eukaryota; Metazoa; Arthropoda; Arachnida; Sarcoptiformes; Ceratozetidae
Description: SSU rRNA
Rfam family: Eukaryotic small subunit ribosomal RNA
Source: RNAcentral